CCUACGGGUGGCAGCAGUGAGGAAUAUUGGUCAAUGGACGAGAGUCUGAACCAGCCAAGUAGCGUGAAGGAUGACUGCCCUAUGGGUUGUAAACUUCUUUUAUAUGGGAAUAAAACGUUCCACGUGUGGGAUUUUGUAUGUACCAUAUGAAUAAGGAUCGGCUAACUCCGUGCCAGCAGCCGCGGUAAUACGGAGGAUCCGAGCGUUAUCCAGAUUUAUUGGGUUUAAAGGGAGCGUAGGUGGAUUGUUAAGUCAGUUGUGAAAGUUUGCGGCUCAACCGUAAAAUUGCAGUUGAAACUGGCAGUCUUGAGUACAGUAGAGGUGGGCGGAAUUCGUGGUGUAGCGGUGAAAUGCUUAGAUAUCACGAAGAACUCCGAUUGCGAAGGCAGUUCACUGGACUGCAACUGACACUGAGGCUCGAAAGUGUGGGUAUCAAACAGGAUUAGAUACCCUUGUAGUC
This 460-nucleotide ribosomal RNA is filed under the name uncultured bacterium. RNAcentral's name for it is "partial 16S ribosomal RNA". It matches the Rfam family "Bacterial small subunit ribosomal RNA", at positions 338 to 795 of the family's 1533-position model. The record is from RNAcentral.